CAGGGGAGCAGUCUAGGAGGGCAAGUCUGGUGCCAGCAGCCGCGGUAAUUCCAGCUCCAAUAGCGUAUAUUAAACUUGUUGCAGUUAAAAAGCUCGUAGUUGAAUUUUAGCGUGUUCGAGUUUGCCAUUCGUUUGGCUUUUUCGAGUUCGCUUUUGGGUUUUCCCUUUUUACUUUGAGAAAAUUAGAGUGUUUCAAGCAGACUUUUGUCUUGAAUACUUCAGCAUGGAAUAAUAGAGUAGGACUUUGGUUCUAUUUUGUUGGUUAUUGAACCUUAGUAAUGGUUAAUAGGAACGGUUGGGGGCAUAA
This 307-nucleotide ribosomal RNA is filed under the name Babesia vogeli. RNAcentral describes it as "SSU rRNA". It matches the Rfam family "Eukaryotic small subunit ribosomal RNA", at positions 534 to 893 of the family's 1831-position model. The record is from RNAcentral. Lineage: Eukaryota; Apicomplexa; Aconoidasida; Piroplasmida; Babesiidae.